AAGUAACGAGAGAUUCACGUGAUCGAUAAGUAUCGGGGAAACGGAUCGUGAUCCACGUGUAUUCCGUGGAUCUCGAUCUUUACCACCUUUUGUCUUCGGCAAUUGUUCGUUGUGCGAGACGUUCGCGAGCCUUGGAUACUUUCUUGGCGAGCUUUAAGACCGACCAUGAAAAUAAAUAUCAGAGCCUGGAAAUUAAGGCCUUUCAAAAAUCUACCGGCACGGCGUUGCUCCCGCGCUCAUUGUCAGCAAUUAAUCGUAAAGGGACCGGUUUUUGCCCUUCUGAUAAAAAGUCCAGCGGAUAGAAGAUUGCCAGUGGAUCAAUUGAAUAACAUCAUAUUCUUUACUUCUUCCUCGAGACUCCGACAAACAGCAGUUUUUUUUAAAUUUGUUGUCCCACAUUAUACUGUAAACUAAGCCUUCUAACGUCACAAAGAAAGGUUCUUAAUUUAGUUGCAACAACGUUGUUAUGUCUAUGGAUGCCUUUAGAAUUCAGAUGAUAUUUUAUACAAUAUCCUACAAGUAGAGAAAGUGGAAAACGAUAAGAAGAAAUAUACUGGAAAAAGCAGGAAAGAUAAGGGCGUGAUUGGCCGAUGACGAACAAGAGGAUGGAAUAGAGAAAAUAUUGGAAGAUAUAUGGAGAGAAAAAGAGGAAGUAAGGAAAUAUAAGGAAAUAAAAUGUCGAAGCAAUAGAAAAGAUUUAAGUACUUGGAGGAAAGAGUGAAAAGUAAAGAUUGGAAAUAGCUGCAGAAAUGAAGUUAGACGGUAAGAUUCGACGGAAGGUGAAGACAGGAAAUGUAUAAAUAUAAAAGUAUAUUAAUAUAAAGAAUAUAAAGCGAGAGACGUAAUUAUAGGUAUAGCUAGCGAUGUAAGUGAAUUGACAUUAAACAUAAUAUGAGAGCAGGAAAUGAGUGAAAGGCGGCGUAAGGGGGAGAAAUACGAAAGAUGAAAAGAGAAAGAUCAAUGUGUAAUACAUGUAGAAUAUAGGUUCAGUUAUAUUAUAAAAUAUCGAUUUAGUUCUAGGGGAAAAUGUAAAGCCGGAGGGUCAUUUCAAACCGAAGGGCAUGAACUAUGAAUAAAUAAAUAAAUACGACAUUCUGCAAAUUGUACGAGCCCAAAUGUUCUUCGUUCGGUGCGAUGAACCACGCCCGGAGCACCAAUUACGCGUGGACCAUCAAACUCCCGAAUCCAGUUCCCUCUUGAAACUUUCCGCAAAAACCGUUAAGCACUACGAAGAACGAGCCAGCACCCGGUUACGCGAAUUCCACACGAGGGGCCCCACGGGUAAUACGGUCAUUUUUC
Molecule: long non-coding RNA, 1299 nt
Organism: Ceratina calcarata
Lineage: Eukaryota; Metazoa; Arthropoda; Insecta; Hymenoptera; Apidae
Exons: 3
Source: RefSeq, a predicted model, not a curated record